UGAGUAAUACGUAGGAAUCUACCCUAGAGUGGGGGAUAACCUGUCGAAAGACGGGCUAAUACCGCAUAAUCUCUAAGGAGCAAAGGUGGCUAGCAAUAGCUUUCGCUUUAGGAUGAGCCUACGUCGGAUUAGCUAGUUGGUAGGGUAAUGGCCUACCAAGGCGACAAUCCGUAGCUGGUCUGAGAGGACGAUCAGCCACACUGGAACUGAGACACUGUCCAGACUCCUACGGGAGGCAGCAGUGGGGAAUAUUGGACAAUGGGGGGAACCCUGAUCCAGCAAUGCCGCGUGUGCGAUGAAGGCCUGCGGGUUGUAAAGCACUUUCGGUGGGGAAGAAAUGCUCAAAGAUAAUACAUUUGAGAGCUGACGUUACCCACAGAAGAAGCACCGGCAAACUCUGUGCCAGCAGCCGCGGUAAUACAGAGGGUGCAAGCGUUAAUCGGAGUUACUGGGCGUAAAGGGCGCGUAGGCUGGUAUUUAAGUCGAUUGUGAAAUCCCUGGGCUUAACCUAGGAAUUGCAGUCGAUACUGAAUGUCUUGAGUAUGGUAGAGGAAAGUGGAAUUCUCGGUGUAGUGGUUAAAUACGUAGAUAUCGAGAAGAACACCGGUGGCGAAGGCGACUUUCUGGACCAAUACUGACGCUGAGGCGCGAAAGCGUGGGGAGCAAACAGGAUUAGAUACCCUGGUAGUCCACGCUGUAAACGAUGAGAACUAGAUGUUGUCUGGUUUAUGCCGGGCAGUAUCGCAGCUAACGCAUUAAGUUCUCCGCCUGGGGAGUACGAUCGCAAGAUUA
This 792-nucleotide ribosomal RNA is filed under the name uncultured bacterium. Its description in RNAcentral is "bacterial SSU rRNA". It matches the Rfam family "Bacterial small subunit ribosomal RNA", at positions 107 to 896 of the family's 1533-position model. The record is from RNAcentral.